GCGAGAAGGAAGGAAGGAAGGAAGGAAGGAAAGAAGGAAAGAAGGAAAGAAGGCGAGAGGUAAGGAAGGAAGGAAGGAAGGAAGGAAGAAAAAGGAAAUAAGGAAGGAAGGAAAGAAGGCGAGAAGGAAGGAAGGAAGGAAGGAAGGAAGGAAAGAAGGAAGGAAGGAAAGAAGGUGAGAAGGAAGGAAAGAAGGAAGGAAAGAAGGAAGGAAGGAAAGAAGGCGAGAAGGAAGGAAGGAAGGAAGGAAGGAAGGAAGGACAGAAGGAAAGAAGGUGUGAAGGAAGGAAGGAAGGAAGGAAGGAAAGAAGGCGAGAAGGAAGGAAAGAAGGAAGGAAGGAAGGAAAGAAGGAAAGAAGGCGAGAAGGAAGGAAGGAAGGAAGGAAGGAAGAAGGAAAGAAGGAAAGAAGGCGAGAAGGAAGGAAGGAAGGAAAGAA
Long non-coding RNA from Ictalurus punctatus (channel catfish), 436 nucleotides. The record is from Ensembl. Lineage: Eukaryota; Metazoa; Chordata; Actinopteri; Siluriformes; Ictaluridae.